ACGCUGGCGGCAUGCCUAACACAUGCAAGUCGAACGAGACCUUCGGGUCUAGUGGCGCACGGGUGCGUAACGCGUGGAAUCUGCCCUUAGGUUCGGAAUAACUUCGGGAAACUGAAGCUAAUACCGGAUGAUGACGUAAGUCCAAAGAUUUAUCGCCUAAGGAUGAGCCCGCGUUGGAUUAGCUAGUUGGUGAGGUAAAGGCUCACCAAGGCGACGAUCCAUAGCUGGUCUGAGAGGAUGAUCAGCCACACUGGGACUGAGACACGGCCCAGACUCCUACGGGAGGCAGCAGUGGGGAAUAUUGGACAAUGGGCGAAAGCCUGAUCCAGCAAUGCCGCGUGAGUGAUGAAGGCCUUAGGGUUGUAAAGCUCUUUUACCCGGGAUGAUAAUGACAGUACCGGGAGAAUAAGCUCCGGCUAACUCCGUG
Molecule: ribosomal RNA, 427 nt
Filed under: uncultured bacterium
Lineage: Bacteria
Description: bacterial SSU rRNA
Rfam family: Bacterial small subunit ribosomal RNA
Source: RNAcentral